UAUAAUCUCAUCUUUCUCUGCCUUGUGUUACUCCGAUCUUUAACAUUACUAGCAGCUAGUAUGAAUAUUAAUUGUGAGUACAGAGAUGAAAAUGCUUGUUAUUUUCAUCCCACAGAAGUUGUUACGGGGGUGUGUCAUAUGUGCCUCAACGAAAAGCUUCUAGUCUUGGCUUCAAAGCAGAGUCAUCUCCGUAGCAGGAGUCUUUUCAGAAACUACAGUUUCAGUCAUGACCAGAAGCGUCCGGCCGUGGCUACCAGUUUACCAAAAUUGUUUGCUAUAUCUUCGUUGCUCAGCCGGUUCGAAUUUCGCCACCGGAAAUCUGAUCAUCUGGACUUUAGUGAUGCUUCUAGUCUUGAAGAUUCAUUCAUAUCAAUCAAGUUCGAAAACAACGGGGUAGGCUCAUGGGAGAAGAAUCCAAACACAGUUUCAAAAGUGUGUUUAGAGCAGUGCAACUCGCCAUCAGAUCAGAAGCAUAAGUUAGCGAGCAAUGAAGGCAAGGAGUACUCAACAGAGAGCACUAGUGUGGUGGAGCAUGUAAAGCCAAGAGGGUCGGCGUUGAGGUGGGGGAAGCGGAUCGGCCACAUUUUCAAGUGGAGGAGGAGGUCCAAUAAAGCAAGUGUAGUAUGCCAUGUGGGUGGGAGGCUGGAGGGAGCCAAGGGGAGGAAUAGUGGUUGGAUAAUAAGUCUGACCAAGACAAGGACCACAGAAUGAUUAUAGAAAAAGACAUGCAAAUUCACUCUCUUAAACCUGAGAUAUACUGUAUCUGCUACUGCUAUACAUGUAGCUAGCUAGAUAGCUUCCACCAUAUAUACAAACACAUGACUAUUGUUGAAGAUUAAGAUGGUAUGCAGGCCAGAUUUUACUUUAUAAUCAAUAAAAAUAUAUCUGUUA
This is a long non-coding RNA of Daucus carota subsp. sativus, 891 nucleotides long. RefSeq lists it as uncharacterized. The record is from RefSeq and is a predicted model, not a curated record. The transcript is spliced from 2 exons. Lineage: Eukaryota; Viridiplantae; Streptophyta; Magnoliopsida; Apiales; Apiaceae.